UACGAGAGGGGCAAGCGUUAUUCGGAAUGAUUGGGCGUAAAGAGCACGUAGGUGGUAUUCCAAAUCUUUAGUGGUAAUGUCAAGGCUAAACUUUGAAAACUAUUAGAAGGUUCGAAUACUUGAGUGAGUGAGAGGAGAAUGGAAUUCCUGGAGUAGAGGUAAAAUUUGUUGAUCUCAGGAGGAACACCGAAAGCGAAGGCAAUUCUCUAAUGCUUUACUGACAUUGAGGUGCGAAAGCGUGGGGAUCAAAAGGG
This 254-nucleotide ribosomal RNA is filed under the name uncultured bacterium. Its description in RNAcentral is "partial 16S ribosomal RNA". It matches the Rfam family "Bacterial small subunit ribosomal RNA", at positions 524 to 776 of the family's 1533-position model. RNAcentral also lists the same sequence under 1 other name. The record is from RNAcentral.